GGCUCAGGAUGAACGCUAGCGACAGGCCUAACACAUGCAAGUCGAGGGGCAGCACAAGGAGCAAUCUGAGGUGGCGACCGGCGCACGGGUGGGUAACACGUAUGCAACCUGCCUGUAAGCGGGGAAUAACCCGUUGAAAGACGGACUAAUACCGCAUAAUACUAAAUUACUGCAUGGUAAUUUAUUUAAACAUUUAUGGCUUACAGAUGGGCAUGCGCAUGAUUAGCUAGUUGGAGAGGUAACGGCUCCCCAAGGCAACGAUCAUUAGGGGUUCUGAGAGGAAGGUCCCCCACACUGGUACUGAGACACGGACCAGACUCCUACGGGAGGCAGCAGUGAGGAAUAUUGGUCAAUGGACGAGAGUCUGAACCAGCCAAGUCGCGUGCAGGAAGAAUGUCCCUAUGGAUUGUAAACUGCUUUUGCAGGGGAAUAAAGUGCAUCACGUGUGAUGUUUUGUAUGUACUCUGCGAAUAAGGAUCGGCUAACUCCGUGCCAGCAGCGGC
This 503-nucleotide ribosomal RNA is filed under the name uncultured bacterium. Its description in RNAcentral is "bacterial SSU rRNA". It matches the Rfam family "Bacterial small subunit ribosomal RNA", at positions 21 to 518 of the family's 1533-position model. The record is from RNAcentral.